AACGAACGCUGGCGGCAUGCCUAACACAUGCAAGUCGAACGAGACCUUCGGAUCUAGUGGCGCACGGGUGCGUAACGCGUGGGAACCUGCCCUUAGGUUCGGAAUAACUCCCCGAAAGGGGUGCUAAUACCGGAUAAUGUCUUCGGACCAAAGAUUUAUCGCCUUUGGAUGGGCCCGCGUUGGAUUAGCUAGUUGGUAGGGUAAAAGCCUACCAAGGCGACGAUCCAUAGCUGGUCUGAGAGGAUGAUCAGCCACACUGGGACUGAGACACGGCCCAGACUCCUACGGGAGGCAGCAGUGGGGAAUAUUGGACAAUGGGCGAAAGCCUGAUCCAGCAAUGCCGCGUGAGUGAUGAAGGCCUUAGGGUUGUAAAGCUCUUUUACCCGGGAUGAUAAUGACAGUACCGGGAGAAUAAGCUCCGGCUAACUCCGU
RNAcentral lists this ribosomal RNA (432 nucleotides) under uncultured bacterium. RNAcentral describes it as "partial 16S ribosomal RNA". It matches the Rfam family "Bacterial small subunit ribosomal RNA", at positions 29 to 506 of the family's 1533-position model. The record is from RNAcentral.